RNAcentral lists this ribosomal RNA (255 nucleotides) under uncultured bacterium. RNAcentral describes it as "partial 16S ribosomal RNA". It matches the Rfam family "Archaeal small subunit ribosomal RNA", at positions 474 to 727 of the family's 1478-position model. The record is from RNAcentral.
UACCAGCACCCCGAGUGGUCGGGACGUUUUAUUGGGCCUAAAGCAUCCGUAGCCGGUUCUACAAGUCUUCCGUUAAAUCCAACUGCUUAAACAGGUGGGCUGCGGAAGAUACUAUAGAGCUAGGAGGCGGGAGAGGCAAGCGGUACUCGAUGGGUAGGGGUAAAAUCCGUUGAUCCAUUGAAGACCACCAGUGGCGAAGGCGGCUUGCCAGAACGCGCUCGACGGUGAGGGAUGAAAGCUGGGGGAGCAAACCGG